CAGCAGUCGCCGCGGGAAGACAGAGGAUGCAAGCGUUAUCCGGAAUGAUUGGGCGUAAAGCGUCUGUAGGUGGCUUCUCAAGUCCGCCGUCAAAUCCCAGGGCUCAACCCUGGACAGGCGGUGGAAACUACCAAGCUGGAGUACGGUAGGGGCAGAGGGAAUUUCCGGUGUAGCGGUGAAAUGCGUAGAGAUGUGGAGGAACACCAGUGGCGAAAGCGACUCUCUGGUCUGUAACUGACGCUGAGGAGCGAAAGCGUGGGGAGCGAACAGGAUUAGAUACCCCGGUAGUCCCUGUCUCUUAUAC
RNAcentral lists this ribosomal RNA (304 nucleotides) under uncultured bacterium. Its description in RNAcentral is "partial 16S ribosomal RNA". It matches the Rfam family "Bacterial small subunit ribosomal RNA", at positions 509 to 807 of the family's 1533-position model. The record is from RNAcentral.